GAUGAACGCUGGCGGCGUGCCUAAUACAUGUAAGUCGAGCGAACGGACGAGAAGCUUGCUUUUCUGAUGUUAGCGGCGGACGGGUGAGUAACACGUGGAUAACCUACCUAUAAGACUGGGAUAACUUCGGGAAACCGGAGCUAAUACCGGAUAAUAUUUUGAACCGCAUGGUUCAAAAGUGAAAGACGGUCUUGCUGUCACUUAUAGAUGGAUCCGCGCUGCAUUAGCUAGUUGGUAAGGUAACGGCUUACCAAGGCAACGAUGCAUAGCCGACCUGAGAGGGUGAUCGGCCACACUGGAACUGAGACACGGUCCAGACUCCUACGGGAGGCAGCAGUAGGGAAUCUUCCGCAAUGGGCGAAAGCCUGACGGAGCAACGCCGCGUGAGUGAUGAAGGUCUUCGGAUCGUAAAACUCUGUUAUUAGGGAAGAACAUAUGUGUAAGUAACUGUGCACAUCUUGACGGUACCUAAUCAGAAAGCCACGGCUAACUACGU
Molecule: ribosomal RNA, 496 nt
Filed under: uncultured bacterium
Lineage: Bacteria
Description: partial 16S ribosomal RNA
Rfam family: Bacterial small subunit ribosomal RNA
Source: RNAcentral